CCUUGUACACACCGCCCGUCACGUCAUGAAAGUCGGCAACACCCGAAGCCAGUGGUCCAACCGUUUACGGAAGGGAGCUGUCGAAGGUGGGGCUGGCGAUUGGGACG
Molecule: ribosomal RNA, 107 nt
Filed under: uncultured bacterium
Lineage: Bacteria
Description: partial 16S ribosomal RNA
Rfam family: Bacterial small subunit ribosomal RNA
Source: RNAcentral